GUGAAUCAUCAAAUCUUUGAACGCAUAUUGCACUCUCUGGUAUUCCGGAGAGUAUGCCUGUUUGAGGGUAAUUAAAAAGAAUCUUUAACCAAUUUUUUUGGUCAAAGGAAAUGAGUUCUACGUGUUUAUAGCGGUAGCUUGAAAUAAAUGGUCAAGUCUUAUAUUAGUCGAGACGCGUAAUAAUAUUAUUUCGUGAAAUUUUCGUUAUGUGACUAUCAAGUUUUGAGGCAAACCACUUU
RNAcentral lists this unclassified non-coding RNA (239 nucleotides) under Ambisporaceae sp. Its description in RNAcentral is "partial contains 5.8S ribosomal RNA and internal transcribed spacer 2". The stretch from base 1 to 71 matches the Rfam family "5.8S ribosomal RNA", at positions 84 to 154 of the family's 154-position model. Lineage: Eukaryota; Fungi; Glomeromycota; Glomeromycetes; Archaeosporales; Ambisporaceae. The record is from RNAcentral.